RNAcentral lists this ribosomal RNA (252 nucleotides) under uncultured bacterium. Its description in RNAcentral is "partial 16S ribosomal RNA". It matches the Rfam family "Bacterial small subunit ribosomal RNA", at positions 524 to 776 of the family's 1533-position model. The record is from RNAcentral.
UACGGAGGAUCCGAGUGUUAUCCGGAUUUAUUGGGUUUAAAGGGUGCGCAGGCGGCACGGCAAGCCGGCGGUCAAAUCGCGGGGCUCAACCCCGCCCAGCCGUCGGAACUGCCGGGCUAGAGUGGGCGAGAAGUGCGCGGAAUGCGUGGUGUAGCGGUGAAAUGCAUAGAUAUCACGCAGAACUCCGAUUGCGAAGGCAGCGCACCGGCGCCCUACUGACGCUCAGGCACGAAAGCGUGGGUAUCGAACAGG